GCCGGUGUGGCUCAGUGGAUAGAGCAUCGGCCUGUAGACUGAAGGAUCCCGGGUUCAAUUCCGGUCAAGGGCA
Molecule: non-coding RNA, 73 nt
Organism: Myotis lucifugus (little brown bat)
Lineage: Eukaryota; Metazoa; Chordata; Mammalia; Chiroptera; Vespertilionidae
Source: Rfam